AACAUCGCGCACCUGCGGGAACCUGCGGAAGGAUCAUUACCGAGUUUACAACUCCCAAACCCCUGUGAACAUACCUAUACGUUGCCUCGGCGGAUCAGCCCGCGCCCCGUAAAAAGGGACGGCCCGCCCGAGGACCCCUAAACUCUGUUUUUAGUGGAACUUCUGAGUAAAACAAACAAAUAAAUCAAAACUUUUAACAAUGGAUCU
Molecule: unclassified non-coding RNA, 207 nt
Filed under: soil metagenome
Description: partial contains 5.8S ribosomal RNA, internal transcribed spacer 2, and large subunit ribosomal RNA
Source: RNAcentral